UACAGAGGCGGCAAGCGUUGUUCGGAAUUACUGGGCGUAAAGGGCGCGUAGGCGGCCUUGUAAGUCCUGUGUGAAAUCCCCCGGCUCAACUGGGGAACUGCACAGGAGACUGCUUGGCUUGAGUUCGGGAGAGGGAAGCGGAAUUCCGGGUGUAGCGGUGAAAUGCGUAGAUAUCCGGAGGAACACCGGUGGCGAAGGCGGCUUCCUGGACCGACACUGACGCUGAGGCGCGAAAGCCAGGGGAGCAAACGGG
RNAcentral lists this ribosomal RNA (253 nucleotides) under uncultured bacterium. Its description in RNAcentral is "partial 16S ribosomal RNA". It matches the Rfam family "Bacterial small subunit ribosomal RNA", at positions 524 to 776 of the family's 1533-position model. The record is from RNAcentral.